Molecule: small RNA, 125 nt
Filed under: Marmota monax (woodchuck)
Lineage: Eukaryota; Metazoa; Chordata; Mammalia; Rodentia; Sciuridae
Source: RNAcentral
GCUGGGUGUGGUGGUACAUGCCUGUAAUCCCAGUGACUUGGGAGGCUAAGGCAGGAGAAUUGCGAGUUCAAAGCCAGCCUCUGCAAAAACGAGGCCCUAAGCAACUCAGUGAGACCCUGUCUCUA